This 59-nucleotide transfer RNA is filed under the name Loxodonta africana (African savanna elephant). It matches the Rfam family "tRNA", at positions 14 to 71 of the family's 71-position model. Rfam says of the family: Transfer RNA (tRNA) molecules are approximately 80 nucleotides in length. Their secondary structure includes four short double-helical elements and three loops (D, anti-codon, and T loops). The record is from Rfam by way of RNAcentral. Lineage: Eukaryota; Metazoa; Chordata; Mammalia; Proboscidea; Elephantidae.
GGUGGUUAAGCACUUGGCUGUCAACCAAAAGGUUGGUGGUUCAAACCCACCUAACACCU